Molecule: ribosomal RNA, 253 nt
Filed under: uncultured bacterium
Lineage: Bacteria
Description: partial 16S ribosomal RNA
Rfam family: Bacterial small subunit ribosomal RNA
Source: RNAcentral
UACGGGGGGGGCAAGCGUUGUUCGGAAUUACUGGGCGUAAAGGGCUCGUAGGUGGCCAACUAAGUCGGACGUGAAAUCCCUCGGCUUAACCGGGGAACUGCGUCCGAUACUGGUUGGCUUGAGUUUGGGAGAGGGAUGCGGAAUUCCAGGUGUAGCGGUGAAAUGCGUAGAUAUCAGGAGGAACACCGGUGGCGAAGGCGGGUCUCUGGGCCGUAACUGACGCUGAGGAGCGAAAGCGUGGGGAGCGAACAGG